This 98-nucleotide small nuclear RNA is filed under the name Dipodomys ordii (Ord's kangaroo rat). The record is from RNAcentral. Lineage: Eukaryota; Metazoa; Chordata; Mammalia; Rodentia; Heteromyidae.
GUGCUUGCUCCGGCAGCACAUUUACUAAAAAUUGGAAUGGUACAGAGAAUAGCACGGACAAGAAUGGCAUGCAAAUUUGAGAAGCGUUGCAUCAUGAG